GAGGAGCCUGCGGCGGAUUAGCUAGUUGGUAGGGUAACGGCCUACCAAGGCGACGAUCCGUAGCCGGCCUGAGAGGGCGGUCGGCCACACUGACACUGACAUACGGGUCAGACUCCUACGGGAGGCAGCAGUCGGGAAUUUUGGGCAAUGGGCGAAAGCCUGGCCCAGCAACGCCGCGUGAAGGAUGAAAUCCCUCGGGAUGUAAACUUCGCAAGAACGGGAAGAAUAAGCGGGAGCCAACACCUCUCGUGACGACGGUACCGUUUGUAAGCUCCGGCUAACUCCGUGCCAGCAGCCGCGGUAAUACGGGGGGAGCAAGCGUUGUUCGGAUUUACUGGGCGUAAAGGGCGCGUAGGCGGCCACUGCAAGUCAAUUGUGAAAUCUCCGGGCUUAACUCGGAAAGGUCAACUGAUACUGCAGGGCUAGAGUGCGGAAGGGGCAACUGGAAUUCUCGGUGUAGCGGUGAAAUGCGUAGAUAUCGAGAGG
Molecule: ribosomal RNA, 486 nt
Filed under: uncultured Acidobacteriota bacterium
Lineage: Bacteria; Pseudomonadati; Acidobacteriota
Description: bacterial SSU rRNA
Rfam family: Bacterial small subunit ribosomal RNA
Source: RNAcentral